Long non-coding RNA from Numida meleagris (helmeted guineafowl), 446 nucleotides. RefSeq lists it as uncharacterized. The transcript is spliced from 3 exons. The record is from RefSeq and is a predicted model, not a curated record. Lineage: Eukaryota; Metazoa; Chordata; Aves; Galliformes; Numididae.
CCGGCGGAGAAAGCACGUGGUCCUCCUGCAGCUUACUGUGGUUAGAUAUUCUACAAACACAAGAGAAGACCAUAGGACAGAUCUGUAAAAUGUAUCUAAGCACCUGUGGAAGCACUCUGUCGGCCAGUGAAGUUGUCAGUGCAGAUACAUCUUGACUACAGUUUGUAUGUCCCAUUUUCAAUGAUCCUGAAGUCCCAAUCACUGCUUUUUGAAGACGUACAGAUUCAGCAAGUAGGAGCCCAUCCUACUUCAUCUUGAGCUGAAAAAAAAUACCACCAGUGGGAAAACACUACAAGAAACUGUGGCAAGCAAAAAUCACUGGCUUUUGAUUUUCUCUUUACAGAAAAUAUCUGUCCUCUUGUGUAAUGCUGGUACAGGGUCAACCUCUGUAACAUAUCCCACUGGAGAAGAGGGGAGGGGAGAGAGAGAGGGAGUGGAGGAGGAGA